GACGUGCUAAUCUGCGAUAAGCGUCGGUAAGGUGAUAUGAACCGUUAUAACCGGCGAUUUCCGAAUGGGGAAACCCAGUGUGAUUCGUCACACUAUCAUUAACUGAAUCCAUAGGUUAAUGAGGCGAACCGGGGGAACUGAAACAUCUAAGUACCCCGAGGAAAAGAAAUCAACCGAGAUUCCCCCAGUAGCGGCGAGCGAACGGGGAGCAGCCCAGAGCCUGAAUCAGUGUGUGUGUUAGUGGAAGCGUCUGGAAAGGCGUGCGAUACAGGGUGACAGCCCCGUACACAAAAAUGCACAUACUGUGAGCUCGAUGAGUAGGGCGGGACACGUGGUAUCCUGUCUGAAUAUGGGGGGACCAUCCUCCAAGGCUAAAUACUCCUGACUGACCGAUAGUGAACCAGUACCGUGAGGGAAAGGCGAAAAGAACCCCGGCGAGGGGAGUGAAAAAGAACCUGAAACCGUGUACGUACAAGCAGUGGGAGCACGCUUAGGCGUGUGACUGCGUACCUUUUGUAUAAUGGGUCAGCGACUUAUAUUCUGUAGCAAGGUUAACCGAAUAGGGGAGCCGAAGGGAAACCGAGUCUUAACUGGGCGUUAAGUUGCAGGGUAUAGACCCGAAACCCGGUGAUCUAGCCAUGGGCAGGUUGAAGGUUGGGUAACACUAACUGGAGGACCGAACCGACUAAUGUUGAAAAAUUAGCGGAUGACUUGUGGCUGGGGGUGAAAGGCCAAUCAAACCGGGAGAUAGCUGGUUCUCCCCGAAAGCUAUUUAGGUAGCGCCUCGUGAAUUCAUCUCCGGGGGUAGAGCACUGUUUCGGCAAGGGGGUCAUCCCGACUUACCAACCCGAUGCAAACUGCGAAUACCGGAGAAUGUUAUCACGGGAGACACACGGCGGGUGCUAACGUCCGUCGUGAAGAGGGAAACAACCCAGACCGCCAGCUAAGGUCCCAAAGUCAUGGUUAAGUGGGAAACGAUGUGGGAAGGCCCAGACAGCCAGGAUGUUGGCUUAGAAGCAGCCAUCAUUUAAAGAAAGCGUAAUAGCUCACUGGUCGAGUCGGCCUGCGCGGAAGAUGUAACGGGGCUAAACCAUGCACCGAAGCUGCGGCAGCGACGCUUAUGCGUUGUUGGGUAGGGGAGCGUUCUGUAAGCCUGUGAAGGUGUGCUGUGAGGUAUGCUGGAGGUAUCAGAAGUGCGAAUGCUGACAUAAGUAACGAUAAAGCGGGUGAAAAGCCCGCUCGCCGGAAGACCAAGGGUUCCUGUCCAACGUUAAUCGGGG
This 1280-nucleotide ribosomal RNA is filed under the name Escherichia coli. RNAcentral's name for it is "partial 23S ribosomal RNA". It matches the Rfam family "Bacterial large subunit ribosomal RNA", at positions 55 to 1374 of the family's 2925-position model. The record is from RNAcentral. RNAcentral also lists the same sequence under 1 other name. Lineage: Bacteria; Pseudomonadati; Pseudomonadota; Gammaproteobacteria; Enterobacterales; Enterobacteriaceae.